GAACUUUAGCCUGACAAACUGCGUGGCCUUAAGUGAUUCAUUUUUUUUCUUAAAAUCUGCCUAAAUCAACCUUACUCUCAAAACUCGAACUGAACUGAACAGAAAAGUCACAAGGAAGCAAUACACAUAAGGUGUUUAAGUAAAUACUCUCAAAUAUAUUUAAUAAUUAUGAAUAAGAUGAUUAAAAAUGAGGGAGAAGGCCUCUAUUUAUAGUUGAACUCCCCAA
Molecule: long non-coding RNA, 226 nt
Filed under: Gossypium barbadense (sea-island cotton)
Lineage: Eukaryota; Viridiplantae; Streptophyta; Magnoliopsida; Malvales; Malvaceae
Description: long non-coding RNA (GBAR_LNC015097)
Source: RNAcentral